This 226-nucleotide unclassified non-coding RNA is filed under the name uncultured fungus. RNAcentral's name for it is "sequence contains ITS1, 5.8S rRNA gene". The stretch from base 178 to 226 matches the Rfam family "5.8S ribosomal RNA", at positions 1 to 49 of the family's 154-position model. Lineage: Eukaryota; Fungi. The record is from RNAcentral.
UCUCCGUAGGUGAACCUGCGGAGGGAUCAUUACUGAGUGAGGGUCUCCGGGCCCGACCUCCAACCCUUUUGUGAACCACCUCGUUGCUUCGGGGGCGACCCUGCCUUUCGGCGCGGCGCCCCCGGAGGCUCAUCAAACACUGCAUCUUUGCGUCGGAGUAUCAAUCAAAUUGAACAAAACUUUCAACAACGGAUCUCUUGGUUCUGGCAUCGAUGAAGAACGCAGC